Molecule: ribosomal RNA, 444 nt
Filed under: uncultured bacterium
Lineage: Bacteria
Description: bacterial SSU rRNA
Rfam family: Bacterial small subunit ribosomal RNA
Source: RNAcentral
ACUCCUACGGGAGGCAGCAGUGGGGAAUAUUGGACAAUGGGCGCAAGCCUGAUCCAGCCAUGCCGCGUGAGUGACGAAGGCCUUAGGGUUGUAAAGCUCUUUUAGCAGGGAUGAUAAUGACAGUACCUGCAGAAUAAGCCCCGGCUAACUUCGUGCCAGCAGCCGCGGUAAUACGAAGGGGCUAGCGUUGUUCGGAAUUACUGGGCGUAAAGCGCGUGUAGGUGGCUUGUUAAGCCAGAUGUGAAAGCCCCGGGCUCAACCUGGGAACUGCAUUUGGAACUGGCAGGCUAGAGUUUUGUAGAGGGUGGUAGAAUUUCAGGUGUAGCGGUGAAAUGCGUAGAGAUCUGAAGGAAUACCGGUGGCGAAGGCGACCACCUGGCCAAUAACUGACACUGAGACGCGAAGGCGUGGGUAGCAAACGGGAUUAGAUACCCUGGUAGCGAG